GAACGAUUGGCUCAGUUGGUUAUAGCACCGGCACGCAACGCCGGAGGUCGUGGGUUCGAGUCCCACAUCGUUCA
Leptidea sinapis is the source of this 74-nucleotide non-coding RNA. The record is from the annotation of a RefSeq genome assembly. NCBI's taxonomy places the organism in Eukaryota, Metazoa, Arthropoda, Insecta, Lepidoptera, Pieridae.